RNAcentral lists this ribosomal RNA (253 nucleotides) under uncultured bacterium. RNAcentral's name for it is "partial 16S ribosomal RNA". It matches the Rfam family "Bacterial small subunit ribosomal RNA", at positions 524 to 776 of the family's 1533-position model. The record is from RNAcentral.
UACAGAGGUCCCAAGCGUUGUUCGGAUUCACUGGGCGUAAAGGGUGCGUAGGUGGCGAGGUAAGUCGGAUGUGAAAGCUCGGAGCUCAACUCCGAAAUGGCAUUGGAAACUACCUUGCUUGAGGGUUGGAGGGGGGACUGGAAUACUUGGUGUAGCAGUGAAAUGCGUAGAUAUCAAGUGGAACACCAGUGGCGAAGGCGAGUCUCUGGACAUUUCCUGACGCUGAGGCACGAAAGCCAGGGGAGCAAACGGG